This 76-nucleotide small RNA is filed under the name Flavobacterium urumqiense. RNAcentral describes it as "Flavo-1 RNA". It matches the Rfam family "Flavo-1 RNA". Lineage: Bacteria; Pseudomonadati; Bacteroidota; Flavobacteriia; Flavobacteriales; Flavobacteriaceae. The record is from RNAcentral.
UUUUAGCCCCGAUGGAAACGGCAUCCUGUUGUGGCGGUGUUCGCCAUAACAGAUAUAGUGUACAGUGGGAUUAGCU